AGGACGAACGCUGGCGGCGUGCUUAACACAUGCAAGUCGAGCGGUAAGGCCUUUCGGGGUACACGAGCGGCGAACGGGUGAGUAACACGUGGGUGAUCUGCCCUGCACUCUGGGAUAAGCCUGGGAAACUGGGUCUAAUACCGGAUAUGACCUGCUCUCGCAUGGGGGUGGGUGGAAAGAUUUAUCGGUGCAGGAUGGGCCCGCGGCCUAUCAGCUUGUUGGUGGGGUAAUGGCCUACCAAGGCGACGACGGGUAGCCGACCUGAGAGGGGUGACCGGGCCAACGACGUCGGGACUGAGACACGGCCCAGACUCCUACGGGAGGCAGCAGUGGGGAAUAUGCACAAUGGGCGAAAGCCUGAUGCAGCGACGCCGCGUGAGGAUGAAGGCCUUCGGGUUGUAAACCUCUUUCAGCAGGACGAAGCGCGAAGUGACGGUACCUGCAAGAAGAAGCACCGGACUAACUACGUGCCAGCAGCCGC
RNAcentral lists this ribosomal RNA (481 nucleotides) under uncultured soil bacterium. RNAcentral's name for it is "bacterial SSU rRNA". It matches the Rfam family "Bacterial small subunit ribosomal RNA", at positions 26 to 518 of the family's 1533-position model. The record is from RNAcentral.